RNAcentral lists this transfer RNA (84 nucleotides) under Candidatus Ornithobacterium hominis. Its description in RNAcentral is "tRNA-Leu(gag)". It matches the Rfam family "tRNA". Rfam says of the family: Transfer RNA (tRNA) molecules are approximately 80 nucleotides in length. The record is from RNAcentral. Lineage: Bacteria; Pseudomonadati; Bacteroidota; Flavobacteriia; Flavobacteriales; Weeksellaceae.
GCUCACGUGGUGGAAUUGGUAGACACGCCAUCUUGAGGGGGUGGUGCCCAAUGGGUGUGCUGGUUCGAAUCCAGUCGUGAGCAC